This 465-nucleotide ribosomal RNA is filed under the name uncultured bacterium. Its description in RNAcentral is "SSU rRNA". It matches the Rfam family "Bacterial small subunit ribosomal RNA", at positions 26 to 523 of the family's 1533-position model. The record is from RNAcentral.
AGGAUAAACGCUGGCGGUGUGCCUAAUACAUGCAAGUCGUGCGGCAGCACGGGCUUCGGCCUGGUGGCGAGCGGCGGGACGGCUGAGUAACGCGUAGGAACGUACCCCAAAGUGAGGGAUAACUGCCCGAAAGGGUAGCUAAUACCGCAUAUGGUCUUCGGAUUAAAGCUUUUAGCGCUUUGGGAACGGCCUGCGUUCGAUUAGUUUGUUGGUGAGGUAAUGGCUUACCAAGACGAUGAUCGAUAGCUGGUCUGAGAGGAUGAUCAGCCAGACUGGGACUGAGACACGGCCCAGACUCCUACGGGAGGCAGCAGUAGGGAAUUUUCCACAAUGGGCGAAAGCCUGAUGGAGCAACACCGCGUGCAGGAUGAAGGCUUUCGGGUCGCAAACUGCUUUUCUAUGUGAGGAUUAUGACAGUAGCAGAGGAAUAAGGAUCGGCUAACUCCGUGCCAGCAGCCGCGGUAA